Molecule: ribosomal RNA, 476 nt
Filed under: uncultured bacterium
Lineage: Bacteria
Description: bacterial SSU rRNA
Rfam family: Bacterial small subunit ribosomal RNA
Source: RNAcentral
AGGACGAACGCUGGCGGCGUGCUUAACACAUGCAAGUCGAGCGGAAAGGCUCCUUCGGGGGUACUCGAGCGGCGAACGGGUGAGUAACACGUGAGUAAUCUGCCCUUGGCUUUGGGAUAAGCCCCGGAAACGGGGUCUAAUACCGGAUACGACGCACUCUCGCACGGGAUGUGUGUGGAAAGUUUUUUCGGCCAGGGAUGUGCUCGCGGCCUAUCAGCUUGUUGGUGGGGUAAUGGCCUACCAAGGCUUCGACGGGUAGCCGGCCUGAGAGGGUGACCGGCCACACUGGGACUGAGACACGGCCCAGACUCCUACGGGAGGCAGCAGUGGGGAAUAUUGGACAAUGGGCGGAAGCCUGAUCCAGCAACGCCGCGUGAGGGAUGACGGCCUUCGGGUUGUAAACCUCUUUCAGUACCGACGAAGCGCCGAUGAUGGUGGUGACGGUAGGUACAGAAGAAGCACCGGCCAACUACGUG